ACGACGCUGGCGGCGUGCCUAACACAUGCAAGUCGAACGGGGAUUUGUUUCGGCAGAAUCCUAGUGGCGAACGGGUGAGUAACGCGUAGGCAACCUGCCCCCCGGAUUGGGACAACACCCCGAAAGGGGUGCUAAUACCGGAUACGAAGAUAACACCGCAUGGUGAUAUUUUUGAAAGAUGGCCUCUAUUUAUAAGCUAUCGCCGGGGGAUGGGCCUGCGUCCGAUUAGCUGGUUGGUGGGGUAACGGCCUACCAAGGCGACGAUCGGUAGCCGGUCUGAGAGGAUGAACGGCCACAUUGGGACUGAGACACGGCCCAGACUCCUACGGGAGGCAGCAGUGGGGAAUCUUCCGCAAUGGGCGAAAGCCUGACGGAGCAACGCCGCGUGGGUGAAGGAAGUUCUUCGGAACGUAAAGCCCUGUUGUACAUGACGAACGUGCUUUCUAUCAACAACGGGAAGCAAUGACGGUAGUGUACGAGGAAGCCACGGCUAACUACGUGCCAGCCGCAGC
RNAcentral lists this ribosomal RNA (512 nucleotides) under uncultured bacterium. RNAcentral describes it as "bacterial SSU rRNA". It matches the Rfam family "Bacterial small subunit ribosomal RNA", at positions 33 to 518 of the family's 1533-position model. The record is from RNAcentral.